Sapajus apella (tufted capuchin) is the source of this 276-nucleotide long non-coding RNA. RefSeq lists it as uncharacterized. Lineage: Eukaryota; Metazoa; Chordata; Mammalia; Primates; Cebidae. The record is from RefSeq and is a predicted model, not a curated record. The transcript is spliced from 2 exons.
CUUGGCAGCGGGGAGCCUGUUAUGUGGAAAGAGGUGUUUGGGAAAGAGCGCCCCAGAAGCUGUGUGCAAGGAGAGGCUGGAUCUGGGCAGAAUGGGACACACCUGUAGCCCAGCGGCCAGUGAGGGAGCAACAUCAUAGAUGGUCCGGGCCUGCCCAGGUGCACUGGAGAGAGAGAAGAAGCUUCUAAUUGGGUCAGGGAGAGGGGGAACGGGAAAAGAAGAGAGAAAUCCAAGGUUUACAGUCCAGAAGUAGGAAGAAAUAUCAUGCUUUUGACA